AGCAGCCGCGGUAAUUCCAGCUCCAAUAGCGUAUAUUAAAGUUGUUGCAGUUAAAAAGCUCGUAGUUGAAUUUCGGGAUCAGAUUGUCGGUCGUGCCUCGGUACGCACUGGCAUUAUUGGUUCCUACCUUCUGAAGAACCGCGAUGUCAUUAAUUUGGUGUCGUGGGGAAUCAGGACUGUUACUUUGAAAAAUUAGAGUGUUUAAAGCAGGCGCACGCUUGAAUACAUUAGCAUGGAAUAAUGAAAUAGGACGUUUGAUUCUAUUUUGUUGGUUUCUAGGAUCGACGUAAUGAUUAAUAGGGAUAGUUGGGGGCAUUAGUAUUCAAUUGUCAGAGGUGAAAUUCUUGGAUUUAUUGAAGACUAACUACUGCGAAAGCAUUUGCCAAGGAUGUUUUCAUUAAUCAAGAACGAAAGUUAGGGGAUCGAAGACGAUCAGAUACCGUCGUAGUC
This 450-nucleotide ribosomal RNA is filed under the name uncultured Glomus. RNAcentral's name for it is "SSU rRNA". It matches the Rfam family "Eukaryotic small subunit ribosomal RNA", at positions 569 to 1025 of the family's 1831-position model. RNAcentral also lists the same sequence under 1 other name. Lineage: Eukaryota; Fungi; Glomeromycota; Glomeromycetes; Glomerales; Glomeraceae. The record is from RNAcentral.